This is a long non-coding RNA of Nanorana parkeri, 396 nucleotides long. RefSeq lists it as uncharacterized. Lineage: Eukaryota; Metazoa; Chordata; Amphibia; Anura; Dicroglossidae. The record is from RefSeq and is a predicted model, not a curated record. The transcript is spliced from 3 exons.
AAUCCAAUGUCCUUAUAUUUCUCCACCCAAAACCAAUCAUUGGCUAUGUUUAUAAUUCCCUUUAAGUGAAACCAGCUCUGCUUUGCAAUGUUAUCCUGUUCACGCCUUAGUUUUUGGAGAGAAACUACAAAGUAUAACUGUUUUCCAGUGUAAAAUAUUGACCUGUUUUGUUUUUUUCUUUUCUUUGGGUAAUAAGAUAAAAAGAAAAUGUAUUUCCAUGUUUAAAAAAAUGAGAAUUGUAUUUGCUUUUAUCACAGCACAAGUUUAAGUAGGUGUUAAAUAUGAAGGUGUAGUAAUAGCACAUAUAUAAUUUUAUAUUGUGAAAGAAAGUAUUUAAAUGGAUAUUGGAAGCAAUUUUUGGUGCUUUAUAGACAAUAAAAAAAAAAAGUCAUAACC